UGUUUUAAUAUUUGAUGAACUUUAUACACUAUAAAUUGAUAUAAUUGUAUUCUAUUUGUCAUAUACAAAAAGAAAUAAAAUAUGAAUAAAAAUCUUAAGUUAGCUCCCGCAAUAAUUUUAUUUGUUUUCCUAUUUUUUGUUACAGGGGAGGUUGACCACUGGAUAAUUAAUGAUGUGCGUCCAACAGCUACCGAAUGUACAUCCUCUAAAGAUUGUCCUGAUUUUGAAAUAGAACCCAAACUCUUCAUUUCUGUGUGCGAUAAGGGCUAUUGUCUAAACAAAUUUAAUCAUGAUCCACUAUAGGCAACAUGAACUUUCUACGUGCAUUGAUGGCUAUCGUUAAUAAGAGUGGGUAUCAAAUUCAAGAGAGUAGAUAAUCUCUUCAAUAAUUGUGUUACCACUGAAUAAUUUUAUUUUUAGCUUUCAAUUCGUAAUUUUACCUUUAAACUAUAGCUUUGUAUUGUAAACAUAAAAGAAAUAAGACACUAAAUAUUAUAGUUAAAUUGUCUUCUAUCUUGAUUUUAUGUUUCA
Long non-coding RNA from Trifolium pratense (red clover), 531 nucleotides. RefSeq lists it as uncharacterized. The record is from RefSeq and is a predicted model, not a curated record. The transcript is spliced from 2 exons. NCBI's taxonomy places the organism in Eukaryota, Viridiplantae, Streptophyta, Magnoliopsida, Fabales, Fabaceae.